GCCCCUGUAGCUCAGCCGGUAGAGCGACAGACUGUUAAUCUGUAGGUCGGCAGUUCGAGUCUGCCCGGGGGCG
RNAcentral lists this transfer RNA (73 nucleotides) under Candidatus Woesearchaeota archaeon. RNAcentral's name for it is "tRNA-Asn". It matches the Rfam family "tRNA". Rfam says of the family: Transfer RNA (tRNA) molecules are approximately 80 nucleotides in length. Their secondary structure includes four short double-helical elements and three loops (D, anti-codon, and T loops). The record is from RNAcentral. Lineage: Archaea; Nanobdellati; Candidatus Woesearchaeota.